Molecule: transfer RNA, 75 nt
Filed under: Bacillus amyloliquefaciens
Lineage: Bacteria; Bacillati; Bacillota; Bacilli; Caryophanales; Bacillaceae
Also listed under: 113 other names
Description: tRNA-Glu
Rfam family: tRNA
About the family: Transfer RNA (tRNA) molecules are approximately 80 nucleotides in length. Their secondary structure includes four short double-helical elements and three loops (D, anti-codon, and T loops). Further hydrogen bonds mediate the characteristic L-shaped molecular structure. tRNAs have two regions of fundamental functional importance: the anti-codon, which is responsible for specific mRNA codon recognition, and the 3' end, to which the tRNAs corresponding amino acid is attached (by aminoacyl-tRNA synthetases). tRNAs cope with the degeneracy of the genetic code in two manners: having more than one tRNA (with a specific anti-codon) for a particular amino acid; and 'wobble' base-pairing, i.e. permitting non-standard base-pairing at the 3rd anti-codon position.
Source: RNAcentral
GGCCCGUUGGUCAAGCGGUUAAGACACCGCCCUUUCACGGCGGUAACACGGGUUCGAAUCCCGUACGGGUCAUCA